Molecule: ribosomal RNA, 429 nt
Filed under: Chloroflexota bacterium
Lineage: Bacteria; Bacillati; Chloroflexota
Description: Chloroflexi bacterium partial 16S ribosomal RNA
Rfam family: Bacterial small subunit ribosomal RNA
Source: RNAcentral
UGGGGAAUAUUGCACAAUGGGCGCAAGCCUGAUGCAGCCAUGCCGCGUGUAUGAAGAAGGCCUUCGGGUUGUAAAGUACUUUCAGUCGGGAGGAAGGUGGUAAGGUUAAUAACCUUGGCAAUUGACGUUACCGACAGAAGAAGCACCGGCUAACUCCGUGCCAGCAGCCGCGGUAAUACGGAGGGUGCAAGCGUUAAUCGGAAUUACUGGGCGUAAAGCGCACGCAGGCGGUUGAUUGAGUCAGAUGUGAAAUCCCCGGGCUUAACCCGGGAAUUGCAUCUGAUACUGGUCAGCUAGAGUCUUGUAGAGGGGGGUAGAAUUCCAUGUGUAGCGGUGAAAUGCGUAGAGAUCUGGAGGAAUACCGGUGGCGAAGGCGGCCCCCUGGACAAAGACUGACGCUCAGGUGCGAAAGCGUGGGGAGCAAACAGG